This 337-nucleotide unclassified non-coding RNA is filed under the name soil metagenome. RNAcentral describes it as "partial contains 5.8S ribosomal RNA, internal transcribed spacer 2, and large subunit ribosomal RNA". The stretch from base 1 to 120 matches the Rfam family "5.8S ribosomal RNA", at positions 35 to 154 of the family's 154-position model. The record is from RNAcentral.
GAUGAAGAACGUAGCGAAAUGCGAUAAGUAGUGUGAAUUGCAGAAUUCAGUGAAUCAUCGAAUCUUUGAACGCACAUUGCGCCCCUUGGUAUUCCAUGGGGCAUGCCUGUUCGAGCGUCAUCUACACCCUCAAGCUCUGCUUGGUGUUGGGCGUCUGUCCCGCCUUUGCGCGUGGACUCGCCCCAAAUUCAUUGGCAGCGGUCCUUGCCUCCUCUCGCGCAGCAUAUUUGCGCUUCUCGAGGUGCGCGGGCCGCGUCCACGAAGCAACUAUUACCGUCUUUGACCUCGGAUCAGGUAGGGAUACCCGCUGAACUUAAGCAUAUCAAUAAGCGGAGGA